GAUCAUGGCUCAGAACGAACGCUGGCGGCAUGCCUAACACAUGCAAGUCGAACGAGAUCUUCGGGUCUAGUGGCGCACGGGUGCGUAACGCGUGGGAAUCUGCCCUUUGGUUCGGAAUAACAGUUGGAAACGACUGCUAAUACCGGAUGAUGACGAAAGUCCAAAGAUUUAUCGCCAGAGGAUGAGCCCGCGUAGGAUUAGCUAGUUGGUGUGGUAAAGGCGCACCAAGGCGACGAUCCUUAG
RNAcentral lists this ribosomal RNA (243 nucleotides) under uncultured bacterium. RNAcentral's name for it is "partial 16S ribosomal RNA". It matches the Rfam family "Bacterial small subunit ribosomal RNA", at positions 15 to 286 of the family's 1533-position model. The record is from RNAcentral.